CUUGGAUCUGUGUUUCUUUUGACCGUGUGUGGACCGUUCGAUUGAAUGAAUAGUGGAGAUCAAAAUAUGGCUAGCUCUUGGUUUCUAGUGUAUACAGCUGAGAGGGUCAGAUUUUUUAGACCGGCCUUUUGAAUUUCUCUUGUUUUUCUCUCUCUAUUUUGGGAGACUUUCUUCUUCCUCCUUCUUGGCCCUUAGAAUCUGGAGAUUUUAUUCUUUUGUAAGAUUCCUGUAAAUCUCGUGUGCUACAGUAACUAUGAGACAGUUUGUGUAGGCGAUCUGUUGUACUUGUAUAGUUGUGGUCGGUUUGAGAGGAAGCAGUGUGUUGUGUCCAGAUUUGAGAUCCGUUUGGACCGAUGAUUGAUCUGGUUGUGCUCUUUUGGUUCUGUGUACUGUACUCUCCCUAGGAGGUAGAAUUGCACUAGUGGAUUGGGCUGACUCUGAGCCCCCCAGAUUAAGCCAUUCGGGCCGAACUGGGUGAACAUUUUCUGUGUUCCUUUAUUUUCUUGCACUUUGCGUUUGUGUUGGUAGUGUAGCUCUCAGUUUUGGGUAAAAAAUUCCCUACAAAUCUGGUAUCAGAGCUAUUAAAGGCGUGAGGU
RNAcentral lists this long non-coding RNA (596 nucleotides) under Olea europaea subsp. europaea. Lineage: Eukaryota; Viridiplantae; Streptophyta; Magnoliopsida; Lamiales; Oleaceae. The record is from RNAcentral.